GACGAACGCUGGCGGCGUGCUUAACACAUGCAAGUCGAACGGAAAGGCCCUGCUUUUGUGGGGUUCUCGAGUGGCGAACGGGUGAGUAACACGUGAGUAACCUGCCCUUGACUUUGGGAUAACUUCAGGAAACUGGGGCUAAUACCGGAUAGGAGCUCCUGCUGCAUGGUGGGGGUUGGAAAGUUUCGGCGGUUGGGGCUGGACUCGCGGCUUAUCAGCUUGUUGGUGGGGUAGUGGCUUACCAAGGCUUUGACGGGUAGCCGGCCUGAGAGGGGGACCGGCCACAUGGGGACUGAGGUACGGCCCAGACUCGUACGGGAGGCAGCAGGGGGGAAUAUUGCACAAUGGGCGGAAGCCUGAUGCAGCAACGCCGCGUGCGGGAUGACGGCCUUCGGGUUGUAAACCGCUGUCGACUGUGACGAAGCGUGAGUGACGGUAAUGGGUAAAGAAGCACCGGCUAACUACGUG
Molecule: ribosomal RNA, 468 nt
Filed under: uncultured bacterium
Lineage: Bacteria
Description: partial 16S ribosomal RNA
Rfam family: Bacterial small subunit ribosomal RNA
Source: RNAcentral